RNAcentral lists this ribosomal RNA (441 nucleotides) under uncultured bacterium. RNAcentral describes it as "bacterial SSU rRNA". It matches the Rfam family "Bacterial small subunit ribosomal RNA", at positions 339 to 797 of the family's 1533-position model. The record is from RNAcentral.
UUACGGGAGGCAGCAGUGAGGAAUAUUGCACAAUGGGCGAAAGCCUGAUGCAGCAACGCCGCGUGAGUGAUGAAGGCCUUCGGGUUGUAAAGCUCUGUCUUCUGGGACGAUAAUGACGGUACCAGAGGAGGAAGCCACGGCUAACUACGUGCCAGCAGCCGCGGUAAUACGUAGGUGGCAAGCGUUGUCCGGAUUUACUGGGCGUAAAGGAUGCGUAGGCGGAUACUUAAGUCAGAUGUGAAAUUCCCGAGCUUAACUUGGGAACUGCAUUUGAAACUGGGUAUCUAGAGUGUGGGAGAGGAAAGUGGAAUUCCUAGUGUAGCGGUGAAAUGCGUAGAGAUUAGGAAGAACACCAGUGGCGAAGGCGACUUUCUGGACCAUAACUGACGCUGAGGCAUGAAAGCGUGGGGAGCAAACAGGAUUAGAAACCCUUGUAGUCCA